RNAcentral lists this ribosomal RNA (448 nucleotides) under uncultured bacterium. RNAcentral's name for it is "bacterial SSU rRNA". It matches the Rfam family "Bacterial small subunit ribosomal RNA", at positions 355 to 796 of the family's 1533-position model. The record is from RNAcentral.
UCGAGAAUUUUUCUCAAUGGGGGAAACCCUGAAGGAGCGACGCCGCGUGAGGGAUGAAGGGCUUCGGCCCGUAAACCUCUGUCAUUUGCGAACAAGUGUCAUGGUUGAACAUUCCAUGAUUUGAUUGUAGCGAAAGAGGAAGGGACGGCUAACUCUGUGCCAGCAGCCGCGGUAAUACAGAGGUCCCAAGCGUUGUUCGGAUUCACUGGGCGUAAAGGGUGCGCAGGUGGGCUGUCAAGUUCGAUGUGAAAGCCCCGGGCUUAACCCGGGAAUGGCAUUGAAUACUGAUGGUCUGGAGGAUCGGAGGGGGGACUGGAAUUCUUGGUGUAGCAGUGAAAUGCGUAGAUAUCAAGAGGAACACCAGUGGCGAAGGCGAGUCCCUGGACGAUACCUGACACUGAGGCACGAAAGCCAAGGGAGCAAACAGGAUUAGAUACCCCUGUAGUCC